UAUUUGUGGCUGCCUGCAUCAAAGGGUUAGCAACAUGCACGCCAAGCGUUUUGUUUCUUUCUCCCUGCUGGCUUUCUGCCUUCUUCUUGCUGCUGUCACGGCUUUUCCCGAUGGAGACGAUUCGAAUGAGGAAAAAACUCCUGCUCAACUCGCUGUUGUAACUACAUUAACACAAGGUCUGGAGUGCCCUAAAUGGCACGAAUAUCGUCGCGGGAGGUGUGUUCGUAAAAAAUAGUGCAACUCCAUCAGCAUUACUGUACCUCCUGAAUUGUAGCAGAAAAAGAGAGAGGACACCGUACGUAAAAACGUGAAGAAAUUCAAAAUUAUAUAACAUUUUUUCAAGCUGGAUGUAGUAUGGAAAAAUUUAAUUAAAAAUAAAAUUGCAAGAUUUAGAACUUAAA
Molecule: long non-coding RNA, 401 nt
Organism: Cloeon dipterum
Lineage: Eukaryota; Metazoa; Arthropoda; Insecta; Ephemeroptera; Baetidae
Exons: 2
Source: RefSeq, a predicted model, not a curated record